RNAcentral lists this ribosomal RNA (510 nucleotides) under uncultured bacterium. RNAcentral describes it as "partial 16S ribosomal RNA". It matches the Rfam family "Bacterial small subunit ribosomal RNA", at positions 28 to 507 of the family's 1533-position model. The record is from RNAcentral.
GACGAACGCUGGCGGCGUGCUUAACACAUGCAAGUCGAACGAAGAGCGACGGAAGCUUGCUUCUAUCAAUCUUAGCGGCGAACGGGUGAGUAACGCGUAAUCAACCUGCCCUUCAGAGGGGGACAACAGUUGGAAACGACUGCUAAUACCGCAUACGAUCUAAUCUCGGCAUCGAGGAUGGAUGAAAGGUGGCCUCUACAUGUAAGCUAUCACUGAAGGAGGGGAUUGCGUCUGAUUAGCUAGUUGGAGGGGUAACGGCCCACCAAGGCGAUGAUCAGUAGCCGGUCUGAGAGGAUGAACGGCCACAUUGGGACUGAGACACGGCCCAGACUCCUACGGGAGGCAGCAGUGGGGAAUCUUCCGCAAUAGACGAAAGUCUGACGGAGCAACGCCGCGUGAGUGAUGACGGCCUUCGGGUUGUAAAGCUCUGUUAAUCGGGACGAAAGGCCUUCUUGCGAAUAGUGAGAAGGAUUGACGGUACCGGAAUAGAAAGCCACGGCUAACUACGUG